AUGGAGGUGGUCACGGGUGUCAUGAGAAGCCUGCUCCCCAAACUUGGUGAGCUGCUCAUGGAUGAGUACAACCUUCACAAGCGCGUCAAGAAAGACAUCCGCUUCCUCUCCAGGGAGCUAGAGAGCAUGCACGCUGCCCUCCUCAAGGUUGGUGAGGUGCCACGGGACCAGCUCGACAAACAAGUGAAGCUCUGGGCCGAUGAGGUCAGGGAGCUCUCCUACAACAUGGAGGAUGUUGUCGACAAGUUCCUCGUACGUGUUGUUAGCAAUGACAUUGGUGCCAACUCAGAUGGUUUUGUGAGGCUCAAGAAGAAGAUGGUUAGCUUGUUCAGGAAGGGCAAGAAUCACCAUCGGAUUGCCGACGCGAUAAAGGAUAUCAAAGAGCAAAUCCAGGAGGUGGCUGCUCGGCGUGACAGGAACAAGGUUGAUGGUAUUUCGCUUAAGCAUACAGGGGCAGCAACUAUUGAUCCUCGCGUCCAGGCUCUGUACACUGACAUGACAAAGCUUGUGGGCAUAUAUGGGAAUAGAGAUCAAGAGCUCAUAAAAAUGCUCUCAUUAGGGGAUGAUGACGUCUCUAAGAAGAAACACAAGAUAGUACUCUCAAUUGUUGGGUUUGGAGGAUUGGGCAAGACUACUCUCGCCAAAGCAGUCUACAACAAAAUCAAAGGGGGUUUUCAUCGGCGGGCUUUUGUUUCGGUGGGUCGAAAUGCCAAUGUGAAGAAGGUUUUCAGAGACAUCCUCAUUGAUCUUGGCAAGUCUAACUCAAAGAUCCUGACAUUAGAUGAAAGACAGCUUAUUGACGAGAUUCUGAAAUGCUUCAAGAACAAGAGGUACCUUGUUGUAAUAGAUGAUAUAUGGGAUACAAAUCUAUGGGAAAAGUAG
RNAcentral lists this ribosomal RNA (882 nucleotides) under Triticum aestivum (bread wheat). RNAcentral describes it as "partial small subunit ribosomal RNA". The record is from RNAcentral. Lineage: Eukaryota; Viridiplantae; Streptophyta; Magnoliopsida; Poales; Poaceae.